CCUACGGGAGACUGCAGUGAGGAAUAUUGGUCAAUGGACGAGAGUCUGAACCAGCCAAGUAGCGUGAAGGAUGACUGCCCUAUGGUUUGUAAACUUCUUUUAUAUGGGAAUAAAACGUUCCACGUGUGGGAUUUUGUAUGUACCAUAUGAAUAAGCAUCGGCUAACUCCGUGCCAGCAGCCGCGGUAAUACGGAGGAUCCGAGCGUUAUCCGGAUUUAUUGGGUUUAAAGGGAGCGUAGGUGGAUUGUUAAGUCAGUUGUGAAAGUUUGCGGCUCAACCGUAAAAUUGCAGUUGAAACUGGCAGUCUUGAGUACAGUAGAGGUGGGCGGAAUUCGUGGUGUAGCGGUGAAAUGCUUAGAUAUCACGAAGAACUCCGAUUGCGAAGGCAGUUCACUGGACUGCAACUGACACUGAGGCUCGAAAGUGUGGGUAUCAAACAGGAUUAGAUACCCUAGUAGUC
Molecule: ribosomal RNA, 460 nt
Filed under: uncultured bacterium
Lineage: Bacteria
Description: partial 16S ribosomal RNA
Rfam family: Bacterial small subunit ribosomal RNA
Source: RNAcentral